This is a non-coding RNA of Podarcis lilfordi (Lilford's wall lizard), 78 nucleotides long. NCBI's taxonomy places the organism in Eukaryota, Metazoa, Chordata, Lepidosauria, Squamata, Lacertidae. The record is from the annotation of a GenBank genome assembly.
GACCGGUCAUGUCCGCCAGUGGUGCAAUGGGUCUGGCUAUUAACCAGAAGGUUGGUGGUUCGAGCUCACCCAGGGUUG